RNAcentral lists this unclassified non-coding RNA (1596 nucleotides) under Haliotis rubra (blacklip abalone). Its description in RNAcentral is "probable inactive tRNA-specific adenosine deaminase- like protein 3, transcript variant X2". The record is from RNAcentral. Lineage: Eukaryota; Metazoa; Mollusca; Gastropoda; Lepetellida; Haliotidae.
UUAUGUUAUUGUCGAAGGCACGAAAAGAAUCGGUUUGAAUCAAUGACUGUUUUAAUGCGUUGACUUGUACGAGGGGGGACGAGUUAGAACAUGGAGACAGACACCAAGAGAACAAAAACUGGGCCUGAUUCAGAUUUAAUGGGGCAACCAGAAGCUGUCUUGGAGGAUAGGUAUACAGACCCCAUAAGUCUAGUUGAUGCUUAUGCCUGUAUCAUUCAAGAGAAGAAACAGACAGCCAAAAUUGUAAAGGAACUGACCUGUGAUCUACCCUUGACGGAUCUGUUGCAUCUCAAGAGAGUCCGCAAUCACAAGACAAAAGAUAAUGCCGACCAGCUGCAGGUGAUAGUCUGUCCCAAGUCUGCCACUGACUCCAAAUCUGAUGUGGACAUCCUGGACUCCAUUGCCUCGAGGUUCCCAGCUCUGGGCAAGCCAGUCCUUGUGAAGGUGCCACAGAACCCACCACUGACCCGAACUCAGUACCAAGAUGCCAUCAAAUACUGGCCCGUCUCUUUCCAUGAAAAUAAGAGGGUGAUGUCACUGCUGUCAGGCCAUUUCUUCUCCAGCAGUGAAGUGAGGACCAUCCACGCUCACAUGAACACAGUCCUGCAUCAGGCUAAGGUGGCCGGGGACAAGGGCCAGGUUGCUAUAGGAGCUGUAGUGGUGGAUCCAUCCACCGACACUGUCCUUGCUUUGGCACAUGACCUGAGACAAGGACACAAUCCACUCCAACAUGCUGUCAUGGUUGCUGUGGACCUGGUUGCCUACGGACAGGGAGGUGGAAUGUGGGAUAUACAGGACAGUGAUAUGAAAUACCACUCUACAGCAGAUACUGUCACACAACCUUCAAGAGAUGGCUGCACCAAAGUUGGACCGUACCUGUGUACAGGAUAUGACCUAUAUGUGAACAGUGAACCCUGUAUAAUGUGUGCUAUGUCUCUGGUCCAUUCCCGCAUUGGUCGUGUCUUCUACAGCAGUCCACAUCCAGAAGGAGCUCUUGGUACCCGCUACAAGCUGCAUGUUCAACCUGGACUCAACCAUCAUUAUCAGGUGUUCAGAGGGGCACUGCCAACUCAGUGUCUCAACCUAGACCAACAUGGGUGACAUGUUACAUCCUACAGCAUAUGUCUCAGGUUAGGCCAACAUGGGUGACAUGUUACAUCCUAGAGCAUGUGUUACAGGUUAGGCCAACAUGGGUGACAUGUUACAUCCUACAGCAUGUGUCAUAGGUUAGGCCAACAUGGGUGACAUGUUACAUCCUACAGCAUGAGUCACAAGUUAAACCAACAUGGGUGACAUGUUACAUCUUACAGCAUGAGUCACAAGUAACACCAACAUGGGUGACAUGUUACAUCCUACAGCAUGAGUCACAAGUUAGACCAACAUGGGUGACAUGUUACAUCCUAGAGCAAGAGUCACAGGUUAGGCCAACAUGGGUGACAUGUUACAUCCUAGAGCAUGAGUCACAGGUUAGUCCAACAUGGGUGACAUGUUACAUCCUAUAGCAUGUGUCACAGGUUAGGCCAACAUGGGUGACAUGUUACAUCCUACAGCAUGUGUCACAGGUUAGGCCAACACGGGUGACAAGUUAGGCCAACA